CUCAGAACCCCUGGCUCCAUUCCCUGGAGGCACACAGGGACAGUCACCUUCCUGGUUGCUGUGUGGCUUGCAUGCCCAUGGAUGGGCACAUGAGUGUAUCCAUGUACACUUGUGCACCUAUGUUUUGGGGUGCGUGUGGGUGUGAGUGUACAUGAGUCUGUGUGAAUGCACGCAUGUCAGUACAUGUAUAUGUGUGUGUGCUCACGUGAGUACACAUGAAAGCAUUCGCACAAGCUCAGCCCUUUGCAGCCUCACUCCUGAGCCCCAGGACUGUGGAGAGAACCACCCAGAUAUCUUCAGAGCUGCCCUGUGCCUCUGAAAUGCUGGGGGCCAGGGGAAGCCCAGUGGGGUUGAGGGAGCACAUUUUAUAGCAUUCAGAGCACUCUUAACCAGAUUCUACAGAGACGCCAGUUUCCUUUGCAUGCACCUAUCCACGUGCCAAUUAUUCGCCAUGGAGAACGUGGAAAAUGCGAAGUUAGAAGAUCCUGCCCCACCAGCAGGAGUGUGGCUGAUGCUUCUGACACCCCCGGAGCCUGUCACUGCGCAGAGCACCGCGAAUGUGACGAACCGAACGCCUGCUCUGGCACAAACCAAGUCCCCGCUGGUCCCCCUCACAGGCCCUGGGGGAAGCUGCCCACGUGCAAAGGAGGCUUGAGGACCCCCCAGGACCGCAGGCCCAGCAGGCCCACUCGAGGGGGUGCCGGAGCCCCUCAUUAAGAGACUUCAACAGGAAGAGGGUGGAGGAAGCAGCACGGAGGUCAGGAGGCUGCGGCUCCCUGGGGCUCUUCUACAGUGAGACUAGGAGCGGGGAGAAGAAAUGAAGGAGAAAGCAGGCUGGAAGUAGGGUGGGAGAGGAGGAGAGGGCAGAGGGAAGACGAACAGAAAGAAAGGCAACUUUGAAAGGCAGUGAAGUGGAGAAAAAAGCUGGGCAUGGUGCUGCACACCUGUAAUCCCAGCGCUUGGGAGGCUGGGCAGGAGGACUGCCCAAGUUUGAGGCCAGCCCGGUCUGUAAGACCCCAUCUGGAAUAAAUAUACU
Molecule: long non-coding RNA, 1036 nt
Organism: Fukomys damarensis (Damara mole-rat)
Lineage: Eukaryota; Metazoa; Chordata; Mammalia; Rodentia; Bathyergidae
Exons: 3
Source: RefSeq, a predicted model, not a curated record